AAUCGAUGUGGGAUCUCGCAAUCCACCCUCUUCAGGGCCCAGCGUCCUCGCUGGCACACCGCCCAGUGUCCAUCCCCUUCGGGCCUCAACAUCCUCCAUUGCUUAAUGUCUGACUUUAAUGCCAUUUGUAAUCACCUAAUCUCACUAGCAGAUAUUGUCCUCUUUUGGACUUUCCUUCAAGGUUUUUAAAAUAUGUCUGUUAGGGAGAGAUUUCCACACCCUUAUAAAGAAUGUUUCGUUUUCCUCUCCAACUGAUGUGGGAUCUCAUAUGAAUUGUGGGGGAACCGAGUUAUAUAAACUCAUUUACAUACGGUAACAUGCAUUUAGUUUGUUAGUUUAAGAGUUUGUGAUAUAUUUGUAGGUUCAUAAGUUUUAGAACCUUGGAUCAUAUAAAUUCAAUGAGCAGAAAAGUUACUCAUCUUGACUAUCUCAUAAUAACUGUUUUUAAUCUGUAUGCUCUCUAAUAACCAUAGAAUAUAAUUAUGUGUCCCUCUCUUCUCCUAAAUGUCUAUUCUUGCAUAUACGUUCUUAUCACGAGCAAGAAACAAAGAGAAAAAGAAAAGGCACACAGGUAUUCAUCUGAUCUCUAACUUGUGAAAUUGUUGUACUUGAUAGGGUGUUCCCUAUGCUGACUAAUUUUUACAGCUUUGACAGAAAACGUGGUACAUUGAUGGUGAAGAACAAGGAAGCAGCUCAGCUAAGCUAAUCUUAGCUCGAAAUUCAAACCCCUUUUUGGAGUGUAUAAUGUUGGGAACAGUUCUUAUUUUCUAGAUUACUGUUGGCUUUGCCCACAACUGAAUCUGCCUUGAUUCUCCAAAGAAAUUGAUUCUUAUUUCUACUUGGGAGACAUGUUUGCCAAUAUCGUGGUAUCAUUCAUUAAAUAAUCUCACACGGUAUGGAUGGUAUAUGUAACGACCCAGAUCCACCGCUAGCAGAUAUUGUCAUCUUUAGGAUUUUCCUUUCGGGCUUCCCCUCAAAGUUUUAAAACACGUCUGUUAGGGAAAUGUUUUCACCCCUUAUAAAUGGAGGCUUGUUCUCCUCCCCAACCACACCCUUAUAAGGAAUGAUUCGUUUUCCUCUCCAACCGAUGUAGGAUUGCAAUCCACUCCCCUUGAGUGCCUGCAUCCUCGUUGGCACAUCAUCCAAUGCCUGGCUCUGUUACUAUUUGUGACAAUCUAAGUCCGCUGCUAGUAGAUAUUGUUCGUUUUGACCCAUUAUGUAUCACCUUCAGCUUCACGGUUUUUAAAUGCGUCUCUUAGAAAGAGAUUCACAUCUUUAUAGGUAAUGUUUCGUUCUCCUCUCCAACCGAUGUGUGAUCUCACAAAUAGUGACUCCUAAGACUGGCCUAAGCUUGAACCAUACUCGAUAUAAGCUUGGUUCAUGGUCAAAAUUUGUUCGGACAUGCUCGAUUGGACAAUAUUUGAAUUGAUUGGUCCGGUCGAUACAUAACAAGGAUAUUUAAAUUUUUUA
Cucurbita pepo subsp. pepo (vegetable marrow) is the source of this 1470-nucleotide non-coding RNA. NCBI's taxonomy places the organism in Eukaryota, Viridiplantae, Streptophyta, Magnoliopsida, Cucurbitales, Cucurbitaceae. The record is from RefSeq and is a predicted model, not a curated record.